GUAAGGAAUAUUGGACAAUGGGCGGAAGCCUGAUCCAGCCACGCCGCGUGCAGGAAGAAGGUCCUAUGGAUUGUAAACUGCUUUUGUCAGAGGCGAAAGUGUAUGAUUUAUCAUAUUUUGACGGUAUCUGGCGAAUAAGCACCGGCUAACUACGUGCCAGCAGCCGCGGUAAUACGUAGGGUGCAAGCGUUAUCCGGAUUUACUGGGUUUAAAGGGUCCGCAGGCGGUCUGUUAAGUCAGUGGUGAAAUAGCAGGGCUCAACCUUGUUGCUGCCAUUGAUACUGGCGGACUUGAGAAUAGUAGAGGUGGGCGGAAUGUAGCAUGUAGCGGUGAAAUGCGUAGAUAUGCUACAGAACACCGAUUGCGAAGGCAGCUCACUGGACUAUUUCUGACGCUAAUGGACGAAAGCGUGGGUAGCAAACAGGAUUAGAAACCCGAGUAGUCC
Molecule: ribosomal RNA, 445 nt
Filed under: uncultured bacterium
Lineage: Bacteria
Description: bacterial SSU rRNA
Rfam family: Bacterial small subunit ribosomal RNA
Source: RNAcentral